AAUAAUCAAACACGACCCGUUUCAAACGAGUGUGGUUCGGAUCCUCUACUUAUUGGGUCGAGCUUGACCCAAAGAGCAACUCUUCUUGAACCGAAGCAUGUAAACCUCACCCAUCUACAACCUCAAGCCCAAAGAAAACUAUUCGACGACACCAACUAAUCUGAAGAGAGUUUCACAACCCAGUUCGUCGUCGUCGAUUACACCGAAGUUUCUUCUUCUCACUCAUUUAAUUGUGACAAAUUAUUUUAUUCUCUUCAGUCUUUCUCUCCCUGUAAUUUCUAUAUGUGAAAGUUGAUAUCAAAGAUUUCAAAUUUGAUCAAAUGGGUUCUGCUUCUGCUGCUGCAAAUACGGCGUCUAUGAUUACUGUCGUCCCUGUUUCUUCGACAAAGUUGGAUAUCCAUGACAAUUUUCAUAGGGUUUCAUCUCAGACGUGGUGGGUCGAUCGCCAAAUUUACUGCCGCCAUCUCUCCCAACGGCUCUGUUUCUCCUUCUUCUUCACAUGGGGCUGGGUGCUCAGCUGGAGAUGCGGAAAAACAAAGAACUAGUCUUGAAUCUCUGUUUUGUUAUGAUAAGUCUGUACCGGAAGGGAGAAUCGAGAAGCCUAUUGGGAUGUCUUUGACUGAGAAAAUCAUUGGAAACAAUCCCCGAAGCUAAAGGCGCAGUCCUUUGCACCACUUGUUCUGGUUCAGGCCUGUAUGUUGAUUCAAUACUGGAGAGCCAGGGUAUUCUUGUCAAAGUUCGCUGCCUUGGUAAUUAGCUCCUCUUCUCAUAACUGAGUACAUUUGUUGAUUUGAAAAAGAAAACAAUAUUUGCACUUGAUUGUCAAAUAUUAAAGUUUUAUAGGUUCAUUGGAGUAUAUACUAUAUGGCCAAUGAGAAUAUGCUAACGCGAUAGUUGCUCCAUGUUGGUUGCGGGGGAAGUGGCAACAUUAUGUGUUCAGAAUGUGGUGGCCGCGGGCAUCUAGGAUUACCAUACCGGUUCGCUUAUCUUCCUUGAAUUUGCUGUAUGUGCAAGUAACUUGUAUUAUAGCCAUGAUGCUUUCUCGAAUUUUUUGUAGCUAAUUCCACGAUGAGUUUACGUUAAGUGUAACAGUAAUGCAUCUGAUUCAUUUACUCUUCGAAAUGGUGUUCUUCGUCA
Molecule: long non-coding RNA, 1137 nt
Organism: Pyrus x bretschneideri (Chinese white pear)
Lineage: Eukaryota; Viridiplantae; Streptophyta; Magnoliopsida; Rosales; Rosaceae
Exons: 2
Source: RefSeq, a predicted model, not a curated record